AAUGAACGUUGGCGGCGUGGAUUAGGCAUGCAAGUCGAGCGAGAACCCCGCAAGGGGGGACAGCGGCGAAAGGGACAGUAAUGUGUAGAUUAUCUGCACUCAGGUCCGGGAUAGCUGCGGGAAACUGCAGGUAAUACCGGAUAACAUCUCCGGACCAAAGGUGUGAUUCCGCCUGAGGAUGAGUCUGCAUCCUAUUAGCUAGUUGGGGGGGUAAUGGCCUACCAAGGCAUUGAUGGGUAGCAGGUGUGAGAGCACGACCUGCGUCAUUGGGACUGAGACACUGCGCAGACACCUAGGGGUGGCUGCAGGCGAGAAUCUUCGGCAAUGGGCGCAAGCCUGACCGAGCGACGCCGCGUGUGGGAUGAAGGCCUUCGGGUUGUAAACCACUGUCAGAGGGGAUGAAAUGCAGGUGGGUUCUCGCAUCUGUUGGACGUAGCCUCAGAGGAAGGACGGGCUAAGUUCGUG
RNAcentral lists this ribosomal RNA (465 nucleotides) under uncultured bacterium. Its description in RNAcentral is "partial 16S ribosomal RNA". It matches the Rfam family "Bacterial small subunit ribosomal RNA", at positions 29 to 507 of the family's 1533-position model. The record is from RNAcentral.